CCUACGGGAGGCAGCAGUGAGGAAUAUUGGUCAAUGGGCGGAAGCCUGAACCAGCCAAGUAGCGUGCGGGAUGAAGGCCCUACGGGUCGUAAACCGCUUUUGCACGGGGAUAACACCCUCCACUUGUGGAGGUCUGCAGGUACCGUGCGAAUAAGGGCCGGCUAAUUCCGUGCCAGCAGCCGCGGUAAUACGGAAGGCCCGAGCGUUAUCCGGAUUCAUUGGGCUUAAAGGGAGCGUAGGCGGGCGUUCAAGUCAGCUGUAAAAUCGCGCGGCUCAACCGCGCCCCGCAGUUGAAACUGGACGCAUUGAGUUCACAACAGGCAGGCGGGAUUCGUGGUGUAGCGGUGAAAUGCAUAGAUAUCACGAGGAACCCCGAUUGCGAAGGCAGCCUGCCGGGGUGCGACUGACGCUGAGGCUCGAAGGUGCGGGUAUCAAACAGGAUUAGAUACCCCAGUAGUC
This 459-nucleotide ribosomal RNA is filed under the name uncultured bacterium. Its description in RNAcentral is "partial 16S ribosomal RNA". It matches the Rfam family "Bacterial small subunit ribosomal RNA", at positions 338 to 795 of the family's 1533-position model. The record is from RNAcentral.